Molecule: ribosomal RNA, 380 nt
Filed under: uncultured Rhodococcus sp.
Lineage: Bacteria; Bacillati; Actinomycetota; Actinomycetes; Mycobacteriales; Nocardiaceae
Description: bacterial SSU rRNA
Rfam family: Bacterial small subunit ribosomal RNA
Source: RNAcentral
CGUAGAGAUACGGUCCCCUUGUGGUCGGUGUCAGGUGGUGCAUGGCUGUGUCAGCUCGUGUCGUGAGAUGUUGGGUUAAGUCCCGCAACGAGCGCAACCCUUUGUCUUAUGUUGCCAGCACGUGAUGGUGGGGACUCGUAAGAGACUGCCGGGGUCAACUCGGAGGAAGGUGGGGACGACGUCAAGUCAUCAUGCCCCUUAUGUCCAGGGCUUCACACAUGCUACAAUGGCCAGUACAGAGGGCUGCGAGACCGUGAGGUGGAGCGAACCCCUUAAAGCUGGUCUCAGUUCGGAUCGGGGUCUGCAACUCGACCCCGUGAAGUCGGAGUCGCUAGUAAUCGCAGAUCAGCAACGCUGCGGUGAAUACGUUCCCGGGCCUU